GAACGAGAAAGCGGGGGCAACCUCGUGAGUAAAGUGGCGUACGGGUGAGUAACACGUGGAUUAUCUACCCUCUAGUGGGGGAUAACCCUGGGAAACCGGGGCUAAUACCGCAUAAGCUCGAGAGAGGAAAGCAGCAAUGCGCUGGAAGAGGAGUCCGCGGCCGAUUAGCUAGUUGGUAGGGUAAAGGCCUACCAAGGCUACGAUCGGUAGCCGGCCUGAGAGGGCACACGGCCACACUGGCACUGAAACACGGGCCAGACUCCUACGGGAGGCAGCAGUGGGGAAUCUUGCACAAUGGGGGCAACCCUGAUGCAGCGACGCCGCGUGAGCGAUGAAGCCCUUCGGGGUGUAAAGCUCUUUCGGCAGGGAAGAUUAUGACGGUACCUGCAGAAGCAGCUGCGGCUAACUACGUG
Molecule: ribosomal RNA, 413 nt
Filed under: uncultured bacterium
Lineage: Bacteria
Description: bacterial SSU rRNA
Rfam family: Bacterial small subunit ribosomal RNA
Source: RNAcentral